Molecule: ribosomal RNA, 497 nt
Filed under: uncultured bacterium
Lineage: Bacteria
Description: partial 16S ribosomal RNA
Rfam family: Bacterial small subunit ribosomal RNA
Source: RNAcentral
GAUGAACGCUGGCGGCGUGCCUAAUACAUGCAAGUCGAGCGAACGGACGAGAAGCUUGCUUUUCUGAUGUUAGCGGCGGACGGGUGAGUAACACGUGGAUAACCUACCUAUAAGACUGGGAUAACUUCGGGAAACCGGAGCUAAUACCGGAUAAUAUUUUGAACCGCAUGGUUCAUAAGUGAAAGACGGUCUUGCUGUCACUUAUAGAUGGAUCCGCGCUGCAUUAGCUAGUUGGUAAGGUAACGGCUUACCAAGGCAACGAUGCAUAGCCGACCUGAGAGGGUGAUCGGCCACACUGGAACUGAGACACGGUCCAGACUCCUACGGGAGGCAGCAGUAGGGAAUCUUCCGCAAUGGGCGAAAGCCUGACGGAGCAACGCCGCGUGAGUGAUGAAGGUCUUCGGAUCGUAAAACUCUGUUAUUAGGGAAGAACAUAUGUGUAAGAAACUGUGCACAUCUUGACGGUACCUAAUCAGAAAGCCACGGCUAACUACGUG